Bos grunniens (domestic yak) is the source of this 3595-nucleotide long non-coding RNA. NCBI's taxonomy places the organism in Eukaryota, Metazoa, Chordata, Mammalia, Artiodactyla, Bovidae. The record is from Ensembl.
GCGGCGCCUCCCUCCGCAGCAAGUUAGUUCAAGCUUCGAAACUCUUGCCUACUGCGCGCACUUCUAACAGUCCCCAGGGCCCUGAAAGGUUCUCCGUGGGCUGUCCCCACCCUGCCCCAGAGUUCUUCCCUUUUCCCCUGCUGGGAGGAAAGAAAAAGAAUGUGAAGGUCACUCAGUCGUGUCCGACUCUUUGCGACCCCAUGAACUGUACAGUCCAUGGAACUCUCAGGCCAGAAUCCUGGGUGAAGGUCAGGGACAGGAAGCCUGGCGUGCUGCAGUCCCAGGGUCGCAAAGAGUCGGACACGACUGAGCCACUGAACAACAAAACGAGAUCAACUAGAGCCAAGGAAAUUUCGGACAGGGCUGCGUCUGGCAGGUCCGAGGUCAAAGCCAGUCACUGUCGCCGGCUGGGAACUAAGCCCCUGGUCCCGGAGGCGGAGGAGAGAGGCGCAGAGAUUAGACAAGAACUCGCUCUCCAAAGCCAGGCUGCAUAGGCAAGGAGCGGAGAGUUCUUGGAUCCAGAAAAAGAAGCAGGGAUGCGGGGUAGGAAGCAACAGGAAAGUGAGAAGAGAGAGAAAACAAGCUCCCGUAAGCAAAGUUCCUUGGGGUACCCAGGCUACAACACCUGGGCAGGGGUCAGGAACAAAGCAGCCCUCUCAGGUCAGAAGUGCUCUACGUGUUUCCGAAGCAGGGGUGUUCAGGGCAGGCCACGGCCCCCCUGGGGAUGCCAGGCGCCCCUACACCCUGAGCGCGCUCAACCGCAACGCUUACCUUCGCCCGAGCCGCCAACGCGCACUUCCGGGGUCCUGGCUCCGGGUGCUGGGGGCGGAGCCGGGGGACCAGGAGCCGAUCACUAAGAGGAGGACGCAACAAAGCUGUGGCCAAGGUUUGGGCUGGCACUGGCGAUUCGGAAAGGAACCCCAGUGGAGACCUGUGGGCACGGGGUCCCGGCCUGGGCGAUCACGGGCGGCGGUGGUAACCCCAGCAGACGCAGCAGGACCACGAUUCUGUGGGAGGAAAAGUUUCUCAGAGCUAUGUGUUGCUGUCUCCUGGCUGCAGUCCUCCUUUUACUGAACAUAAAACUUGCAACUCUCACAUUGUGCCUUUAAGUUGACAAGCUACAGAGAACAGUGGGCUGGCAUUGACAAGAACUAGUGACCAAGAGCUGAUAGGGUACAGAUGAGUGUGUGAAGUAAAGAGGCAAUUUCCAGGCUUCUGGCUGGACAAACUGGUGACCAGUGGAUGACCAGAAUCCAGAGCACCUUCUGGGGAUGUGAUUUCAAGUGUGAUCUGGGGACUGGCAUUAUUAACAUGAACUGAGAGUUUGUUGCAAAUGGGAACUUUGCAGCCCCAUUUGACCUACUGAAUCAGAAUCUGAGUUUUAACAAGAUCCCAGAUAAUUCAAAUGUGCAUUAGAAUUUCAGAAGCACUAAUCUCUAGACCACUGACUGUGUAUAAGAGUGACUGGAUAUUAGACUGUGGAGCUUUUUAAUUAGAAACACCUGGAGAGCUUUAAAAACCAAUAUGAGGCCCCCAGACCCCUGCUCCCACAAAUGUUUAUUUAGUUGGUCUGUGUUGGAGAUCCAAAAUCAGUGUUUUAAAAAUGCUUUUCAGAUGAUCUAAUACAGUCAGAGUUAAAAAGCACUGUUCUAGACUUAUUCAAAUGCUACUUCAUUUAACCUUGAAGGGCACCUCUUCAGAAAGAAAAGAACACCUAUGUGUAAAUGACAAUGUAAAGACCAAUUAUCUCACCCUUGUACAGAGGCAACCGGUCUGCUGGAAAGCGCCCUUGUUUCCUAAACUAAUCAGGGAAUCAGAUUCUAGCCUCAGAUGGCCUCUGAAGUACUGUUCCAAACUUGGGGCCUCAGGCCUCUCAGGCUUCAGUUUCUUAUCUGUAAAACACACAGAUGACUAACUCUAGAUUUCAUACCUUGGCUUGAAAGGUGCCAUGAUCAGAGCUCUUUCUAACUUGCUAGCUUUAUCAGCAGGCAAAUGGGAAAGUGAUGUUCAGAGGUGGGUUUUCCUGAUAAAACACUCUGUGUGCAACUGCCAUUCAUAAGCACCAGAGAUCAGAAAAUUAUGUGCUGAGCAAGGGCAACACACAUAAGUGAUGCUCAGUAAAUGUGUACUAAAUGUAUAAAUAAAUACAUGAAUAAAUAAAUAUCAUUCAUAAUGGUGGCAUAGACUUUCCAUGAAUUGGCCCUAACCCAGAGCAUAUUCACUUGCUUCCUAAUCUAGAGGAAGGACUCUGGAAUCUGGAAGCCCUUUGACCCAUAAACCUAGCUUAGGAUUUAAAACUAUUUCCUGGUGGCUCAGCAGUAAAGAAUCCACUGGCCAAUGCAGGAGAUGCGGAUUCAGUCCCUGGGUGGGGAAGAUCCCCUGGAGAAAGAAGAGGCAACCCACUCCAAUAUUCUUGCCUGGGAAGUCCCAUGGAAAGAGGAGCCUUGUGAACUACAGUCCAUGGGGUCGCAGAGUCAGACACAACUUAGCAACUAAAAAACAACAAAAAUAAAACCUUUGUUGAAUGCUUAGUACACACCAGGCAUUGAGCUAAAUGCUCUGCUUAGGAUAACCUCAUUUUGUUAUAAGGAAGAAGAUACUGUUGAACUUCUACAGCACAAUUAGUUUCAGGAAUCAUAGAUAUAAAGGGAUGAGGGCAGCCCCUAGGGCAGCAUCCAGGGCAGCCCCUGCCUCUGGUUGUGCAACUGGGCAUAUAUGGCCAGAGAGCCCUCUUGGGGUCUUAGGGUCACUCUCCAAGAGCAUGCUUCCAUUGAGACCAACCUGAGGGAAGGGGUUUGGAGUGACUGCUCCAGGGCCCCAUAGGAACUGAUGCUCCCAGCAGCUAUCUCAAGAGAUCUCUGGACUGUAUGGUUAAGCCUUGGAAAGGGACUCUUCAAAGCUUGCACCUGUUUGAACUUACUGUCUUGCUUACUUACCAAAGCCAAACCCUGCCACAGUUCUUUUCACAUAUAUUUUUCCUAACCCUUACAGCAUCCUGACAUGUUAAGUACUCUUGUUUUCAUGUUUUAUAAGUGAGAAAACUGAGAUGUCAUUAAAUGAAGAUUUGUUUGUCCCUGCAAUCCAAGUUUCUCAAGUGGUACACUUGACCACCAUCAUUGUUCACAUUGAUCACCACCCUUUUACCCCCACACCACCAUUUUGAUAGAAACAAGAGUUCUUAUUUCAGAUCCCAUUCACUUGUCACAGUUAUACUUCAUCAAAACUCUCUGUCCCCCUUUUUCCCAUAAGUAAAAUAAGUUGUCCUUGAUUGCCUGUCUACCAAGACACUAUGCAUGGCGUGGGGCUUCCUCUGUGGCUCAGCAGUUAAGAAUCCACCUACAAUGCAGGAGACAUAACAGGUACAGGUUCAAUCCUUGGGUCAGGAAGAUCUCUAGAGGAGGGCAUGGCAACCCACUCCAGUAUUCUUACCUGGGAAAUCCCAUGGACAGAGGAGCCUGGUAAGUUAUAGUCCAUAGGGUCGCAGAGUCAGACACAACUUAGCAACUAAAAACAACAAAAAUAAAACCUUUGUUGAAUGCUUAGUACACACCAGGCAUUGAGCUAAAUGCUCUGCUUAGGAUAACCUCAUUUUGUU